This 484-nucleotide ribosomal RNA is filed under the name uncultured bacterium. RNAcentral's name for it is "bacterial SSU rRNA". It matches the Rfam family "Bacterial small subunit ribosomal RNA", at positions 30 to 507 of the family's 1533-position model. The record is from RNAcentral.
AUUGAACGCUGGCGGAAUGCUUUACACAUGCAAGUCGAACGGCAGCACGGACUUCGGUCUGGUGGCGAGUGGCGAACGGGUGAGUAACAUAUCGGAACGUAUCCAAUAAUGGGGGAUAACUAAUCGAAAGGUUGGCUAAUACCGCAUACGCCCUGAGGGGGAAAGCUAGGGAUCUUCGGACCUGGCGUUAAUGGAGCGGCCGAUAUCUGAUUAGCUAGUUGGUGGGGUAAAGGCCCACCAAGGCGACGAUCAGUAGCUGGUCUGAGAGGACGACCAGCCACACUGGAACUGAGACACGGUCCAGACUCCUACGGGAGGCAGCAGUGGGGAAUUUUGGACAAUGGGCGCAAGCCUGAUCCAGCCAUUCCGCGUGAGUGAAGAAGGCCUUCGGGUUGUAAAGCUCUUUCGCAAGGGAAGAAAACUUAUCCCCUAACAUAGGAUGAGGUUGACGGUACCUUGAUAAGAAGCACCGGCUAACUACGUG